CAAGAAGUAUCAAUUAUGCAUACAUGUCAAGAAAAUAAUUAUCAAUUAAAAUCCAGCCAAUGGAAAAUUAAUUAAAAAUCACAAUAAAAUAGAGGACAUAUUCAUGAACAUGAUGGAAAAAAUUGCAUGAUUUUUGGAUAAAAAUUGAAAGAGAAAUUAAUUUGUGAAGUUGAGUGAUAUUUGGAUGCAAUAUGAACAAAUGGCAUAGCAAAGUGGUCAACAUAGUCAACAGCGUGGCAGUUUUGUAAAUCAG
Molecule: long non-coding RNA, 253 nt
Filed under: Lathyrus oleraceus (garden pea)
Lineage: Eukaryota; Viridiplantae; Streptophyta; Magnoliopsida; Fabales; Fabaceae
Description: Pisum sativum (pea) long non-coding RNA (PSAT_LNC026785)
Source: RNAcentral